This 73-nucleotide transfer RNA is filed under the name Staphylococcus aureus. Its description in RNAcentral is "tRNA-Lys". It matches the Rfam family "tRNA". Rfam says of the family: Transfer RNA (tRNA) molecules are approximately 80 nucleotides in length. The record is from RNAcentral. Lineage: Bacteria; Bacillati; Bacillota; Bacilli; Caryophanales; Staphylococcaceae.
GAGCCAUUAGCUCAGCUGGUAGAGCAACUGACUUUUAAUCAGAGGGUCAGAGGUUCGAAUCCUCUAUGGCUCA